RNAcentral lists this ribosomal RNA (438 nucleotides) under uncultured archaeon. RNAcentral's name for it is "bacterial SSU rRNA". It matches the Rfam family "Archaeal small subunit ribosomal RNA", at positions 15 to 458 of the family's 1478-position model. The record is from RNAcentral.
UGCCGGACCUGACUGCUAUCGGAUUGAUACUAAGCCAUGCGAGUCUUUGUAGUAAUACAAGGCAGACGGCUCAGUAACACGUAGUCAAUCUAACCUAUGGACAGGGAUAACCUCGGGAAACUGAGAAUAAUACCUGAUAGAUCAUUAUACCUGGAAUGGUUUAUGGUCGAAAUGAUUUAUCGCCGUAGGAUGGGACUGCGGUCUAUCAGCUUGUUGGUGAGGUAAUGGCCCACCAAGGCUAUAACAGAUACGGGCUCUGAGAGGAGAAGCCCGGAGAUGGGUACUGAGACACGGACCCAGGCCCUAUGGGGCGCAGCAGGCGAGAAAACUUUGCAAUGUGCGAAAGCACGACAAGGUUAAUCCGAGUGUUUUCUGCUAAAGAAAUCUUUUGUCAGUCCUAAAAACACUGAUGAAUAAGGGGUGGGCAAGUUCUGGUGU